Molecule: long non-coding RNA, 1160 nt
Organism: Cyprinus carpio (common carp)
Lineage: Eukaryota; Metazoa; Chordata; Actinopteri; Cypriniformes; Cyprinidae
Source: Ensembl
CAUGUGAACUCUGAACUUUUCAUUUUUUCAGUGGUUUUAAACAUGGUAAAAAAGUGCUAAUAGAGUUGUAAGUAGCUGAAAACAUAAUCAUUUUAGGUAAUAUAUUUUAAUAAGGGACAGGCAACAUGAAGAACUACUGUACUGUAUGUGAAUGAUGAAUGUACCAAAUUUGCAGGGGGCACAGAUUCUGCGUGGGCACGAACAUAGAAGUUAGAAAACAUUACUUAGUUUGAUGUUUUGUUAUUUGCUGCAUUGGCAUAAAUUGUAAGUGUGGCUUAAAUGUCCAAAUACUUUUUUGGGACACUGUAUAAUAGUCUUUGCCAGAGGCAUUUUCUCCAAAGAGACAGCACCAUAUCUGGAUGAGAAAAUAAUGGGCACUGCAAAAAUAAAACAAAAUGAAUAUUACAAAACAUGAGAUGAAAUAGUGUAUACAGCAACUGUGCAACACCGACACAAGUUUCACAGGGAGACAAUCUCUCCUUAACAGCAAGAUACAGGUAAAAAGUCAUGUGAGAGGAGGCAGUGUCUCAGUCGCACUUUGACUGGACUUUUACCCUGUCAUCGUGCCUAUUAUGUUCUCCUCAUCACUGAUUGGCUCAUUACCAUGCUAACCAGUGCUUCUCCCAUUGCAAUGCAUCCAACAACAAUAUUUUGCUAUAACCUGAGAAUUGCACUUUCUAAAAUCAAACCAUUAACGCAUAAUUAAAGAUAGUUGAUGAGUACUCAAAAUUCAAGAGUGACCUGCCCGACAUCUCAUUUCAUUUCGAUGCUGCAGAUGUUCUGCAACUAAAUGACUUCAAAAACAUGAUUAGCAAAUGUGAUUUGUAGUCAUGUUGUAAGCAACUCUCUCAUCUCUUCAUUUUCUUCAAACAAAGUAAUGGAGAAGAACUCCCCAUUUACAUUUAUUGGAAUCCCAUUUGCUUUCCAUCUGCUAACUAGCCACCUGUGAAACUAGUUUUUAACAAUCACUGGGGCUCAGGGCCAUCACAUCGUCCCAUAGCCUUUAUUAGUGUUUAUUUUCAGCUAUAAAACUACUGAGGGGGGCUACAAAGAACCCUUGCAUUGUAAAACAAUGUGAUAGAGCACCUUUGAUGUUGGGAAACUAGGUGUGCUGAAAUGAAAAUCUGAAAUAAAUUCCCUCUCUAAUUAAAAAAAAGGCA